UCCUACGGGAGGCAGCAGUGGGGAAUAUUGGACAAUGGGGGCAACCCUGAUCCAGCAAUGCCGCGUGUGUGAAGAAGGCCUGAGGGUUGUAAAGCACUUUCAGUGGGGAGGGAGAUUGAUAGGUUAAGAGCUAAUUGAUUGGACGUUACCCACAGAAGAAGCACCGGCUAACUCCGUGCCAGCAGCCGCGGUAAU
This 195-nucleotide ribosomal RNA is filed under the name uncultured Legionella sp. Its description in RNAcentral is "partial 16S ribosomal RNA". It matches the Rfam family "Bacterial small subunit ribosomal RNA", at positions 337 to 524 of the family's 1533-position model. Lineage: Bacteria; Pseudomonadati; Pseudomonadota; Gammaproteobacteria; Legionellales; Legionellaceae. The record is from RNAcentral.